Molecule: ribosomal RNA, 433 nt
Filed under: uncultured bacterium
Lineage: Bacteria
Description: partial 16S ribosomal RNA
Rfam family: Bacterial small subunit ribosomal RNA
Source: RNAcentral
AACGAACGCUGGCGGCAUGCCUAACACAUGCAAGUCGAACGAGACCUUCGGGUCUAGUGGCGCACGGGUGCGUAACGCGUGGGAACCUGCCCUUAGGUUCGGAAUAACUCCCCGAAAGGGGUGCUAAUACCGGAUAAUGUCUUCGGACCAAAGAUUUAUCGCCUUUGGAUGGGCCCGCGUUGGAUUAGCUAGUUGGUAGGGUAAAAGCCUACCAAGGCGACGAUCCAUAGCUGGUCUGAGAGGAUGAUCAGCCACACUGGGACUGAGACACGGCCCAGACUCCUACGGGAGGCAGCAGUGGGGAAUAUUGGACAAUGGGCGAAAGCCUGAUCCAGCAAUGCCGCGUGAGUGAUGAAGGCCUUAGGGUUGUAAAGCUCUUUUACCCGGGAUGAUAAUGACAGUACCGGGAGAAUAAGCUCCGGCUAAAUCCGUG